This 200-nucleotide unclassified non-coding RNA is filed under the name Psathyrella sp. Its description in RNAcentral is "partial internal transcribed spacer 2". Lineage: Eukaryota; Fungi; Basidiomycota; Agaricomycetes; Agaricales; Psathyrellaceae. The record is from RNAcentral.
UUAAGUUCAGCGGGUAGUCCUACCUGAUUUGAGGUCAAAUUGUCAAAAGAUUGUCCUUGCGGACGGUUAGAAGCAAGUCUAAGCCCAAUCCACGGCGUAGAUAAUUAUCACACCAAUAGACGGAGCCCAGUUGGAACUCGCUAAUACAUUUCAGGGGAGCAGACCGCACUGAGGCAGCCUGCACAAACCCCCACAUCCAA